Molecule: unclassified non-coding RNA, 354 nt
Filed under: soil metagenome
Description: partial contains 5.8S ribosomal RNA, internal transcribed spacer 2, and large subunit ribosomal RNA
Rfam family: 5.8S ribosomal RNA (bases 1-120)
Source: RNAcentral
GAUGAAGAACGCAGUGAAAUGCGAUAAGUAAUGUGAAUUGCAGAAUUCAGUGAAUCAUCGAAUCUUUGAACGCACCUUGCGCCUUUUGGUAUUCCGAAAGGCAUGCCUGUUUGAGUGUCAUGAAAUCUCAAUCCUCCUAGGUUUUUGACCUGGUUGGACUUGGACAUGGGCGUCUGCCAGCAAUGGCUCGCCUUAAAUGACUUAGUGGAACAUCCCACAUCAGUGUUAGACGUAAUAAGUUUCGUCUCUCCUUGUGGUGAUGACUGCUCAUAAUCUGCCAUCGCGCACUUUUGACUUUGACCUCAAAUCAGGUAGGGCUACCCGCUGAACUUAAGCAUAUCAAUAAGCGGAGGA